GCCUUGUGGUUCCUAGAGUCGGCUCCAAAGUGCCGAGCUGUAGGUUUUUAAUUGACGGGCGCAUAUGAACUUCUGCGAUUUUAUGCAUGGAACCUGCAGCUACAGCAGCGCUCCAUAGCCCGGUUGCAGAUACACUC
Molecule: small nucleolar RNA, 137 nt
Filed under: Poecilia reticulata (guppy)
Lineage: Eukaryota; Metazoa; Chordata; Actinopteri; Cyprinodontiformes; Poeciliidae
Description: Small nucleolar RNA SNORA84 (ENSPREG00000021014.1)
Rfam family: Small nucleolar RNA SNORA84
Source: Rfam by way of RNAcentral